AGAUACCAGCGAUCGUUGCCAAAGCCCUGUUACCUGUGGGGAAGGAUAUUACAAGUGGACUUUCAGGUAGGAAGCUCAAUAAUUGUAACACCAAACUCUGACAGAAUUACUCAAUUCAUCAGGACCUGGAUAUUCGCAUUGUGUAUUUCCACAAUUUUACUUCUGCACUAUUCUUAGUCUUUCAGAGGGAUCGAAAGGUUGAGUUACAGAUCUAUACAAUGACUGUCCUUCCUCGCUGGCUCCCCCACCUCUCUCUUUUGGUAGUUUUAUGCAAACACUGACUGGAUCCCUUACCUGGAGGAUAUUUAUGAAUGAAUUUGUUCUAAUGGUGAUCCAGCAUUUUCCCCAAGUAUCGCUCCACACAUGCCCAGAGAAUUUCUCAGUUUCACAAUCUGUGUCCUUCUAGUUUCUUACUCGCUACACUUAACUUUCU
Molecule: long non-coding RNA, 433 nt
Organism: Stegostoma tigrinum
Lineage: Eukaryota; Metazoa; Chordata; Chondrichthyes; Orectolobiformes; Stegostomatidae
Exons: 3
Source: RefSeq, a predicted model, not a curated record